UACGGAAGAUGCGAGCGUUAUCCGGAUUUAUUGGGUUUAAAGGGAGCGUAGGCGGGCUUUUAAGUCAGCGGUCAAAUGUCACGGCUCAACCGUGGCCAGCCGUUGAAACUGCAAGCCUUGAGUCUGCACAGGGCACAUGGAAUUCGUGGUGUAGCGGUGAAAUGCUUAGAUAUCACGAAGAACUCCGAUCGCGAAGGCAUUGUGCCGGGGCAGCACUGACGCUGAGGCUCGAAAGUGCGGGUAUCAAACAGG
This 252-nucleotide ribosomal RNA is filed under the name Paraprevotella clara YIT 11840. RNAcentral describes it as "partial 16S ribosomal RNA". It matches the Rfam family "Bacterial small subunit ribosomal RNA", at positions 524 to 776 of the family's 1533-position model. Lineage: Bacteria; Pseudomonadati; Bacteroidota; Bacteroidia; Bacteroidales; Prevotellaceae. The record is from RNAcentral.